This 445-nucleotide ribosomal RNA is filed under the name uncultured bacterium. RNAcentral describes it as "partial 16S ribosomal RNA". It matches the Rfam family "Bacterial small subunit ribosomal RNA", at positions 354 to 796 of the family's 1533-position model. The record is from RNAcentral.
GUAAGGAAUAUUGGUCAAUGGGCGGAAGCCUGAACCAGCCAUGCCGCGUGCAGGACGACGGCCCUACGGGUUGUAAACUGCUUUUGCCCGGGAAUAACCCCCCGCUCUUGAGCGGGGCUGAACGUACCGGGAGAAUAAGGAUCGGCUAACUCCGUGCCAGCAGCCGCGGUAAUACGGAGGAUCCGAGCGUUAUCCGGAUUUAUUGGGUUUAAAGGGUGCGUAGGCGGCCUGUUAAGGCAGGGGUGAAAUACGGCAGCUCAACUGUCGCAGUGCCCUUGAUACGGACGGGCUUGAAUACCGGUGAAGGCGGCGGAAUGAGACAAGUAGCGGUGAAAUGCAUAGAUAUGUCUCAGAACCCCGAUUGCGAAGGCAGCUGCCUAACCGGCGAUUGACGCUGAUGCACGAAAGCGUGGGGAUCGAACAGGAUUAGAAACCCUUGUAGUCC